GAUGAACGCUGGCGGCGUGCCUAAUACAUGCAAGUCGAGCGAACAGACGAGGAGCUUGCUCCUCUGACGUUAGCGGCGGACGGGUGAGUAACACGUGGAUAACCUACCUAUAAGACUGGGAUAACUUCGGGAAACCGGAGCUAAUACCGGAUAAUAUAUUGAACCGCAUGGUUCAAUAGUGAAAGACGGUUUUGCUGUCACUUAUAGAUGGAUCCGCGCCGCAUUAGCUAGUUGGUAAGGUAACGGCUUACCAAGGCAACGAUGCGUAGCCGACCUGAGAGGGUGAUCGGCCCCACUGGAACUGAGACACGGUCCAGACUCCUACGGGAGGCAGCAGUAGGGAAUCUUCCGCCAUGGGCGAAAGCCUGACGGAGCAACGCCGCGUGAGUGAUGAAGGUCUUCGGAUCGUAAAACUCUGUUAUUAGGGAAGAACAAAUGUGUAAGUAACUAUGCACGUCUUGACGGUACCUAAUCAGAAAGCCACGGCUAACUACGUG
RNAcentral lists this ribosomal RNA (497 nucleotides) under uncultured bacterium. Its description in RNAcentral is "partial 16S ribosomal RNA". It matches the Rfam family "Bacterial small subunit ribosomal RNA", at positions 28 to 507 of the family's 1533-position model. The record is from RNAcentral.